UCCGUGUUAACCACGGCAGUCUCCUUAGAGAGCCGAACUGAAGGAUCUCAUCUCUGAAACCCAUACGGGACAUGUCAAAAGUUGGUAAGGUUCUUCGCGUUGCUUCGAAUUGAACCACAUGCUCCACCGCUUGUGCGGGCCCCCGUCAAUUCCUUUGAGUUUUAAUCUUGCGACCGUACUCCCCAGGCGGGAUGCUUAAAGCGUUAGCUGCGCCACUGACGAGCAAGCUCGCCAACGGCUAGCAUCCAUCGUUUACGGCGUGGACUAC
RNAcentral lists this unclassified non-coding RNA (268 nucleotides) under uncultured Alphaproteobacteria bacterium. Its description in RNAcentral is "contains 16S-23S intergenic spacer region". Lineage: Bacteria; Pseudomonadati; Pseudomonadota; Alphaproteobacteria. The record is from RNAcentral.